RNAcentral lists this ribosomal RNA (179 nucleotides) under uncultured sulfate-reducing bacterium. Its description in RNAcentral is "partial 16S ribosomal RNA". It matches the Rfam family "Bacterial small subunit ribosomal RNA", at positions 327 to 523 of the family's 1533-position model. The record is from RNAcentral.
CGGCCCAGACUCCUACGGGAGGCAGCAGUGGGGGAUAUUGCACAAUGGAGGAAACUCUGAUGCAGCAACGCCGCGUGAGGGAAGAAGGUUUUCGGAUUGUAAACCUCUGUCCUCAGGGACGAUAAUGACGGUACCUGAGGAGGAAGCUCCGGCUAACUACGUGCCAGCAGCCGCGGUAA